RNAcentral lists this ribosomal RNA (498 nucleotides) under uncultured bacterium. RNAcentral's name for it is "partial 16S ribosomal RNA". It matches the Rfam family "Bacterial small subunit ribosomal RNA", at positions 30 to 523 of the family's 1533-position model. The record is from RNAcentral.
AUUGAACGCUGGCGGCAUGCCUUACACAUGCAAGUCGAACGGUAACAGGUCUUCGGAUGCUGACGAGUGGCGAACGGGUGAGUAAUACAUCGGAACGUGCCCGAUCGUGGGGGAUAACUACUCGAAAGAGUAGCUAAUACCGCAUACGAUCUACGGAUGAAAGCGGGGGAUCUUCGGACCUCGUGCGGACGGAGCGGCCGAUGGCAGAUUAGGUAGUUGGUGGGAUAAAAGCUUACCAAGCCGACGAUCUGUAGCUGGUCUGAGAGGACGACCAGCCACACUGGGACUGAGACACGGCCCAGACUCCUACGGGAGGCAGCAGUGGGGAAUUUUGGACAAUGGGCGAAAGCCUGAUCCAGCAAUGCCGCGUGCAGGAUGAAGGCCUUCGGGUUGUAAACUGCUUUUGUACGGAACGAAAAGACUCCUUCUAAUACAGGGGGUCCAUGACGGUACCGUAAGAAUAAGGGACGGCUAAAUACGUGCCAGCAGCCGCCGUAA